AGUUCAGUGUUAGAGCGCAUGCUUAGCACGCAUGAGGCCAGGGUUCAAUCCCCUG
Molecule: transfer RNA, 55 nt
Filed under: Fukomys damarensis (Damara mole-rat)
Lineage: Eukaryota; Metazoa; Chordata; Mammalia; Rodentia; Bathyergidae
Rfam family: tRNA
About the family: Transfer RNA (tRNA) molecules are approximately 80 nucleotides in length. Their secondary structure includes four short double-helical elements and three loops (D, anti-codon, and T loops).
Source: Rfam by way of RNAcentral